Molecule: ribosomal RNA, 297 nt
Filed under: uncultured bacterium
Lineage: Bacteria
Description: partial 16S ribosomal RNA
Rfam family: Bacterial small subunit ribosomal RNA
Source: RNAcentral
AAACCUACGGGACGCAGCAGUGAGGAAUAUUGGUCAAUGGCCGAGAGGCUGAACCAGCCAAGUCGCGUGAGGGAUGACGGUCCUACGGGUUGUAAACCUCUUUUGUCGGGGAGCAAGACCCGCCACGAGUGGCGGAGCGAGAGUACCCGAAGAAAAAGCAUCGGCUAACUCCGUGCCAGCAGCCGCGGUAAUACGAAGGAUGCGAGCGUUAUCCGGAUUUAUUGGGUUUAAAGGGUGCGCAGGCGGACCAUCAAGUCAGCGGUAAAAUCGUGGGGCCCAACCCCAUCCCGCCGUUGA